RNAcentral lists this non-coding RNA (28 nucleotides) under Mus musculus (house mouse). Lineage: Eukaryota; Metazoa; Chordata; Mammalia; Rodentia; Muridae. The record is from RNAcentral.
CAGCCUCUACUCUUAUGAAGAGACAUAU